This 239-nucleotide ribosomal RNA is filed under the name uncultured bacterium. RNAcentral's name for it is "partial 16S ribosomal RNA". It matches the Rfam family "Bacterial small subunit ribosomal RNA", at positions 15 to 236 of the family's 1533-position model. The record is from RNAcentral.
GAUCAUGGCUCAGGACGAACGCUGGCGGCGUGCUUAACACAUGCAAGUCGAACGGAGCACCCUUGAUUGAGGUUUCGGCCAAAUGAUAGGAAUGCUUAGUGGCGGACUGGUGAGUAACGCGUGAGGAACCUGCCUUUCAGUGGGGGACAACAGUUGGAAACGAUUGCUAAUACCGCAUAAUGUGUUUUGGGGGCAUCCCCGGAACACCAAAGAUUUAUUGCUGAAAGAUGGCCUCGCGU